Molecule: small RNA, 28 nt
Filed under: Bombyx mori (domestic silkworm)
Lineage: Eukaryota; Metazoa; Arthropoda; Insecta; Lepidoptera; Bombycidae
Description: ovarian small RNA-17528
Source: RNAcentral
GGGGAUGUAGCUCAGUGGAGAGCUUUCG